AUCAACCCUUAAUCAGGCAAAUCUUCUAUCGAUCGACUAAUAAAAUUUUUUUGUUGAUCCAAGAGUCAACUAUUUGGUAGAUCAACCAGUUCAGUUUUCUGUCAAUUGAGGCACUGGAUGCAAAAAGGGCACUUCUCAGUUGCAGUGUUUCAGAGUCUCCUCUAAAAUUUCAUUCGUUGUAAGGAAAGUGAAUGCAUCCAUUUCACUAAGAAUUUAACUGAUAAUUUUACAAUUUUCUGUGAAGAGAAUUCUGGAAAAAUCACCCAUUAAAUUCUUCUCGAAGGGAUUAAUUAGCAACAGAUAUUCUGAAACACCGCAAUUGAGAAGUGCCCUUUUUGCAUCCAGUGCCUCAAUAGUCCCCAGACAAACGGCAAAAUGUAGUCCAACUUACCGCAACAUAAUGUCCGGGACUUGGUGGUCGGACAAUGGGCUGCCCUCUUUCAUAGGAACGGGAUUGUAGUGCUCCAUCUCGUCGCUACUCUCAUCGUCAUCAUCAUCGUCAUCCUCAUCAGAGUCGCUGUCUUCUUCAUCUUCCUGCUCCACCUCCUCGGACUCAUCUGACUCCUCACCCCCUCCGUCACUCUCUGCUUCACUGGUUUCUUUUGUUUCAUACGCGGCUGCAGCUUCGUGCUCAUUCUAUCGCAGUCAUCAUCACUCAUCCCUAUUACCUCCACGACGCUUUCACGGUGUUUGGAUUUCAACAAUUCCUUUUUUGGGAGGAGUUUAGCUGCUUCUAAAAUGGGCGCGGUAAUUUUUUCACAUUUUCCACUUCGCUUUUGUCAAAGUCUUCUAGUUUGACACUUUCUGCAAAAGAAAACAUUGGUAUGAAGAUUUUUCCCCACUUGUAUUGGUAUGCUUCAAUAGAUUCUUUUGGCCGAAAAUGGUUUUUUUUUAGGUUUAAAUAGUAAGUUUAUUGUAUAAAUACAGAAUUUACAAUUAGGUGAGAACAUUAUCGCACCUUCCUUACUACCUAUAGGUGUCAUAUCUGAUAUAUAUCCCUAUUUAGGCUACUGGAGGUUAUAUGA
Molecule: long non-coding RNA, 1025 nt
Filed under: Bemisia tabaci
Lineage: Eukaryota; Metazoa; Arthropoda; Insecta; Hemiptera; Aleyrodidae
Description: lncRNA ENSSWEETPG008505
Source: RNAcentral